GAUGAAGAACGUAGCGAAACGCGAUAGUUAAUGUGAAUUGCAGAAUUCAGUGAAUCAUCGAAUCUUUGAACGCACAUUGCGCCCCCUGGUAUUCCGGGGGGCAUGCCUGUCCGAGCGUCAUUGCUGCCCUCAAGCACGGCUUGUGUGUUGGGCCUCCGUCCUCCUCCCGGGGGACGGGCCCGAAAGGCAGCGGCGGCACCGCGUCCGGUCCUCGAGCGUAUGGGGCUUCGUCACCCGCUCUUGUAGGCCCGGCCGGCGCUUGCCGACACAUCAAUCUUUUUUCCAGGUUGACCUCGGAUCAGGUAGGGAUACCCGCUGAACUUAAGCAUAUCAAUAAGCGGAGGA
RNAcentral lists this unclassified non-coding RNA (345 nucleotides) under soil metagenome. Its description in RNAcentral is "partial contains 5.8S ribosomal RNA, internal transcribed spacer 2, and large subunit ribosomal RNA". The stretch from base 1 to 120 matches the Rfam family "5.8S ribosomal RNA", at positions 35 to 154 of the family's 154-position model. The record is from RNAcentral.